Molecule: non-coding RNA, 824 nt
Organism: Vicugna pacos (alpaca)
Lineage: Eukaryota; Metazoa; Chordata; Mammalia; Artiodactyla; Camelidae
Source: RefSeq, a predicted model, not a curated record
GGAAGCAAGGAGACAACGGGAGCCCAGCCAGCCAGUGGGGAUUGUGAGUUCCCUUCCUCCCUCUCCUCUCUCCCGGGGCUUGGAAGGACUUCAGGCCUCCUACAGGGCUGACCUUGGCUGGGUUCUCCCUCCCCACCGGUGCCCAUCUUAAUCUCUUUAGUCCCCGUGCCGGCUGAUGAGGCUCUGGCACCCACCUGGCAGGAGCAGCUGUCUGGAUGUCCCAACGGCGUGGAGAUGCGGCCGGACAGAGGCACAGAGGCUAAUCUUCGGAGACACUUCAGUGAUGCUCCUUCUGACUCCCAGGAAGUUCUUAGGUGUGACCCACGCCCAUCUCACAGGAGUCUAUAACCCUGUUAGUUGUGUAACCUAAAACUAAAAAUUACUUAAAAAGAAGAAAAAUGAAGGAAAAAAAAGAAACAUCAAAUUCCAUCUUAGUCAAUAGAAGUUUUACAUGCAUCUCAAGGAAGGUGACAGCUUCCUCUACUCUGGCCCUCCUUUCCUCUCCUUGGCUCUGUCCUUAGCUGGAAUGGAAACAGCUGCCAGGUGAGUGUGUGGCAAAUGGGUCCCUGCAGACAGACUUCUGCUGGGUGCCCUGAGGCAGGAUUCCAGGAGUGAGGAUGGUGGAUGUUCCAGCCCAGGUGGGGUAGAGAUUUCCCAUCCACUUGGUAGGGAUGGUUUUGGCUAAGUUGGGUAUUUGGAAUGUGUGCAAGUUGAGGCAGCAUGAUGCUUCCUAGGAAUGUGGGAGUACCGAGGACGGACUCCCAGCAUACUAUGGGAGGUUGUGAGGGAUGCCCUGAAUGUCCAUUCAGCUCUGAAAAAAAAAA